AGUGAACGCUGGCGGUAGGCCUAACACAUGCAAGUCGAACGGCAGCACAGUAAGAGCUUGCUCUUACGGGUGGCGAGUGGCGGACGGGUGAGGAAUACAUCGGAAUCUACUUUUUCGUGGGGGAUAACGUAGGGAAACUUACGCUAAUACCGCAUACGACCUACGGGUGAAAGCAGGGGAUCUUCGGACCUUGCGCGAUUGAAUGAGCCGAUGUCGGAUUAGCUAGUUGGCGGGGUAAAGGCCCACCAAGGCGACGAUCCGUAGCUGGUCUGAGAAGAUGAUCAGCCACACUGGAACUGAGACACGGUCCAGACUCCUACGGGAGGCAGCAGUGGGGAAUAUUGGACAAUGGGCGCAAGCCUGAUCCAGCCAUACCGCGUGGGUGAAGAAGGCCUUCGGGUUGUAAAGCCCUUUUGUUGGGAAAGAAAAGCAGCAGGUUAAUACCCCGCUGUUCUGACGGUACCCAAAGAGUAAGCACCGGCUAACUUCGUG
Molecule: ribosomal RNA, 492 nt
Filed under: uncultured bacterium
Lineage: Bacteria
Description: partial 16S ribosomal RNA
Rfam family: Bacterial small subunit ribosomal RNA
Source: RNAcentral